AGUGAACGCUGGCGGUAGGCCUAACACAUGCAAGUCGAACGGCAGCACAGUAAGAGCUUGCUCUUACGGGUGGCGAGUGGCGGACGGGUGAGGAAUACAUCGGAAUCUACUUUUUCGUGGGGGAUAACGUAGGGAAACUUACGCUAAUACCGCAUACGACCUACGGGUGAAAGCAGGGGAUCUUCGGACCUUGCGCGAUUGAAUGAGCCGAUGUCGGAUUAGCUGGUUGGUGGGGUAAAGGCCCACCAAGGCGACGAUCCGUAGCUGGUCUGAGAGGAUGAUCAGCCACACUGGAACUGAGACACGGUCCAGACUCCUACGGGAGGCAGCAGUGGGGAAUAUUGGACAAUGGGCGCAAGCCUGAUCCAGCCAUACCGCGUGGGUGAAGGAGGCCUUCGGGUUGUAAAGCCCUUUUGUUGGGAAAGAAAAGCAGCAGGUUAAUACCCCGCUGUUCUGACGGUACCCAAAGAAUAAGCACCGGCUAACUUCGUG
Molecule: ribosomal RNA, 492 nt
Filed under: uncultured bacterium
Lineage: Bacteria
Description: partial 16S ribosomal RNA
Rfam family: Bacterial small subunit ribosomal RNA
Source: RNAcentral